CCCUUAGAUGUCCGGGGCCGCACGCGCGCUACACUGAAGGAAUCAGCGUGGCUUUCUCCCUGACCCGAAAGGGUUGGGAAACCCGUUGAAUCUCCUUCGUGAUAGGGAUUGGGGCUUGAAAUUGUUCCCCAUGAACGAGGAAUUCCCAGUAAGCGCGAGUCAUAAGCUCGCGUUGAUUACGUCCCUACCCUUUGUACACACCGCCCGUCGCUACUACCGAUUGAACGGUUUAGUGAGGGCCUCGGAUUGGUCUCGGCCCGCUCUUUACCGGGCGGCGCCGUUGGUCGAGAAGACGCUCGAACUUGAUCGUUUAGAGGAAGUAAAAGUCGUAACA
This 334-nucleotide ribosomal RNA is filed under the name uncultured eukaryote. Its description in RNAcentral is "partial 18S ribosomal RNA". It matches the Rfam family "Eukaryotic small subunit ribosomal RNA", at positions 1470 to 1796 of the family's 1831-position model. The record is from RNAcentral.